RNAcentral lists this ribosomal RNA (449 nucleotides) under uncultured bacterium. Its description in RNAcentral is "partial 16S ribosomal RNA". It matches the Rfam family "Bacterial small subunit ribosomal RNA", at positions 29 to 523 of the family's 1533-position model. The record is from RNAcentral.
AGCGAACGCUGGCGGCAGGCCUAACACAUGCAAGUCGAACGAACUCCUCGGAGUUAGUGGCGGACGGGUGAGUAACACGUGGGAACGUGCCUUUAGGUUCGGAAUAACUCAGGGAAACUUGUGCUAAUACCGAAUGUGCCCUUCGGGGGAAAGAUUUAUCGCCUUUAGAGCGGCCCGCGUCUGAUUAGCUAGUUGGUGAGGUAAAGGCUCACCAAGGCGACGAUCAGUAGCUGGUCUGAGAGGAUGAUCAGCCACAUUGGGACUGAGACACGGCCCAAACUCCUACGGGAGGCAGCAGUGGGGAAUCUUGCGCAAUGGGCGAAAGCCUGACGCAGCCAUGCCGCGUGAAUGAUGAAGGUCUUAGGAUUGUAAAAUUCUUUCACCGGGGACGAUAAUGACGGCACCCGGAGAAGAAGCCCCGGCUAACUUCGUGCCAGCCGCCGCGGUAA